This 274-nucleotide ribosomal RNA is filed under the name uncultured bacterium. RNAcentral's name for it is "partial 16S ribosomal RNA". It matches the Rfam family "Bacterial small subunit ribosomal RNA", at positions 523 to 796 of the family's 1533-position model. The record is from RNAcentral.
AUACGGAGGGUGCAAGCGUUAAUCGGAAUUACUGGGCGUAAAGCGUACGUAGGCGGUUUAUUAAGUCAGAUGUGAAAGCCCCGGGCUUAACCUGGGAACUGCAUUUGAAACUAGUAGACUAGAGUAUGGUAGAGGGGGGUAGAAUUCCUAGUGUAGCGGUGAAAUGCGUAGAUAUUAGGAGGAAUACCAGUGGCGAAGGCGGCCCCCUGGACCAAUACUGACGCUGAGGUACGAAAGCGUGGGGAGCGAACAGGAUUAGAUACCCGUGUAGUCC